This 253-nucleotide ribosomal RNA is filed under the name uncultured bacterium. RNAcentral's name for it is "partial 16S ribosomal RNA". It matches the Rfam family "Bacterial small subunit ribosomal RNA", at positions 524 to 776 of the family's 1533-position model. The record is from RNAcentral.
UACAGAGACCUCAAACGUUAUCCGGAUUCAUUGGGCGUAAAGGGUCCGCAGGUGGUUCAUAAAGUGAGUGGUUAAAUUCUGACGCUUAACGUCAGAACCGCCGUUCAUACUCAUGGACUUGAGACUGGGAGAGGCACAUGGAAUUCUCGGUGUAGUCGUAAUAAGCGCUGAUAUCGAGAAGAACACCAAAGGCGAAGGCAAUGUGCUGGAACAGUUCUGACACUCAGGGACGAAAGCGUGGGGAGCGAAUAGG